This 425-nucleotide long non-coding RNA is filed under the name Populus trichocarpa (black cottonwood). RNAcentral's name for it is "long non-coding RNA (PTRI_LNC004848)". The record is from RNAcentral. Lineage: Eukaryota; Viridiplantae; Streptophyta; Magnoliopsida; Malpighiales; Salicaceae.
GAGAGAGAGCUAGGGAGAGUUGAGUUGAGUAGAGAAUUUUUCUCCUCCUCCUUGUUUUGUUGUUUGUAUUGUUUCCAAGCUUGAUUAAUACAAACCAGUAGCUCCGUGGAGUAGGCAAGUUGCCGAACCACGUAAAUUUGUGUGUGUUUGAUUGCUAGAAUGUCCCAACAACUGGUAUCAGAGCUUAUUCUUGACAAAGAGGGUGUUUGAUCCAAACUCAAAAAUCAAAGUUCUCAAAAAGUGUUUUUGAACAUACCAUCGUGUAGAGGACAACCGGACGAAUCCACUGUUGAAAACCCGGCGAAGAACCGACGUCCUGCAUGCCCGCACGCGCCCACACGCGCCCACACGCGCCCACACGCGCCGACGUCCAGACUGCCCACGCGCACCAACGCACCGUACGCGCGCCACGCUCCAUCUUCGCC